CUACGGGGCGCUGCAGUGGGGAAUAUUGCACAAUGGGGGAAACUCUGAUGCAGCAACGCCGCGUGGAGGAUGACGCUUUUCGGAGCGUAAACUCCUUUUAUAUAGGAAGAAGAUGACGGUACCAUAUGAAUAAGCACCGGCUAACUCCGUGCCAGCAGCCGCGGUAAUACGGAGGGCGCAAGCGUUACUCGGAAUCACUGGGCGUAAAGAGCGUGUAGGCGGAUUAAAAAGUCAGAAGUGAAAUCCUAUAGCUUAACUAUAGAACUGCUUCUGAAACUUUUAAUCUAGAAUAUGGGAGGGUAGAUGGAAUUUCUGGUGUAGGGGUAACAUCCGUAGAGAUCAGAAGGAAUACCGAUUGCGAAGGCGAUCUACUAGAACAUUACUGACGCUGAGACGCGAAAGCGUGGGGAGCAAACAGGAUUAGAUACCCUAGUAGUC
RNAcentral lists this ribosomal RNA (438 nucleotides) under uncultured bacterium. RNAcentral describes it as "partial 16S ribosomal RNA". It matches the Rfam family "Bacterial small subunit ribosomal RNA", at positions 339 to 795 of the family's 1533-position model. The record is from RNAcentral.